Molecule: ribosomal RNA, 517 nt
Filed under: uncultured fungus
Lineage: Eukaryota; Fungi
Description: SSU rRNA
Rfam family: Eukaryotic small subunit ribosomal RNA
Source: RNAcentral
AUUAAAAACCAAUGCCCUCUGGGCUCUCUGGUGAUUCAUGAUAACUGCUCGAAUCGCAUGGCCUUGCGCCGGCGAUGGCUCAUUCAAAUUUCUUCCCUAUCAACUUUCGAUGUUUGGGUAGUGGCCAAACAUGGUUGCAACGGGUAACGGAGGGUUAGGGCUCGACCCCGGAGAAGGAGCCUGAGAAACGGCUACUACAUCCAAGGAAGGCAGCAGGCGCGCAAAUUACCCAAUCCCGAUACGGGGAGGUAGUGACAAUAAAUACUGAUACAGGGCUCUUUUGGGUCUUGUAAUUGGAAUGAGUACAAUUUAAAUCCCUUAACGAGGAACAAUUGGAGGGCAAGUCUGGUGCCAGCAGCCGCGGUAAUUCCAGCUCCAAUAGCGUAUAUUAAAGUUGUUGUGGUUAAAAAGCUCGUAGUUGAACCUUGGGCCUGGCUGGCCGGUCCGCCUCACCGCGUGCACUGGUCCGGCCGGGCCUUUCCCUCUGUGGAACCCCAUGCCCUUCACUGGGUGUGGC